UAAUACGUAGGGUCCGAGCGUUGUCCGGAGUUACUGGGCGUAAAGCGCGCGCAGGCGGCUCGUCAAGCAUGGCGUGAAAGCCCCCGGCUCAACUGGGGAGGGUCGUCGUGGACUGGCGAGCUUGAGGGCGGUAGGGGCUGGUGGAAUUCCCGGUGUAGUGGUGAAAUGCGUAGAGAUCGGGAGGAACACCCGUGGCGAAGGCGGCCAGCUGGGCCGACCCUGACGCUGAGGCGCGAAGGCGUGGGGAGCGAACGGG
Molecule: ribosomal RNA, 256 nt
Filed under: uncultured bacterium
Lineage: Bacteria
Description: partial 16S ribosomal RNA
Rfam family: Bacterial small subunit ribosomal RNA
Source: RNAcentral